AAAAAUUAGAAAAAAUAAAAAAAAUCUGUUCUUAUCAGUUUAAUAUCUGAUAUGUCCCCUAUCUGGGGACCAUAUAUUAAAUUGAUUUUUGGAACAGGGAGAUGGAAUAGGGGCUCACUCCGUCCACUCCACGCACCGACCUGGUAUUGCAGUACCUCCAGGAACGGUCCACCCCGU
RNAcentral lists this small nuclear RNA (177 nucleotides) under Oncorhynchus mykiss (rainbow trout). RNAcentral's name for it is "U2 spliceosomal RNA". It matches the Rfam family "U2 spliceosomal RNA". From Rfam's summary of the family: U2 is a small nuclear RNA (snRNA) component of the spliceosome (involved in pre-mRNA splicing). Complementary binding between U2 snRNA (in an area lying towards the 5' end but 3' to hairpin I) and the branchpoint sequence (BPS) of the intron results the bulging out of an unpaired adenosine, on the BPS, which initiates a nucleophilic attack at the intronic 5' splice site, thus starting the first of two transesterification reactions that mediate splicing. The record is from Rfam by way of RNAcentral. Lineage: Eukaryota; Metazoa; Chordata; Actinopteri; Salmoniformes; Salmonidae.